UGUAUAGCAAUAGCUACUUGCAUCAUUGUAAAUAUGAUGCAAGAUCGACUAUGUCGAAUAAAAUUCUAGGUAGAAUUAUGAUAAUGACAUUGUCUGCCUAUGUGUCUUGACCAAAUUACGUGCCAGCAGUCGCGGUAAUACGUAGAAGACUAGUGUUAUUCAUGUUUAAUCGGUUUAAAGGGUACCUAGACGGUAAAUCAAGCCUAAAAGGAAAUAAAUGAAGGGACUAAUUUACUAGAGUUACUUAUGAGGGGGUAUUAAAGUACUGCUGGUGUNGAGAUGAAAUUCUGUCAUACCUCUUUUCAAUAGAAAAUUAAUGGCACAGGUAUAGGCGAAAGCAUCCCCUUAUGUGAUAACUGACGUUGAGGGACGAAGGCUUUGUGUAGCGAACAGGAUUANNNACCCCAGUANUCAAAGCAGAAAAUGAUGAAUGUCAUAGAUUAGAUAUNNNNNUUNAUUCUAUAAAUGAAAGUGUAAGCAUUCCACCUCAAGAGUAAUUUGGCAACAUUGGAACUGAAAUCAUUAGACCGUUUCUGAAACCAGUAGUGAAGUAUGUUGUUUAAUUUGAUGAUCCGCAAAAAACCUUACCACAAUUUGAAUAUUUAUAUCUUUUAUUGUUUUUCUUUUUAACUUNNNNNNAAUUUUCUACUUAAAAGAAAAAAAUAACAAGAAAAAAGAGACAAUAAGAUAUAUUUACAAGCGUUGCACGGCUGUCUUCAGUUAAUGUCGCGAGACUAUGGUUAGUUCCAUUAAAUUAACGUAAACCCUUACUUUAUUUUUAUAUAGAGUAGUUCCCCGCUAUAUUGGAUAUGAUAACAGG
This 820-nucleotide ribosomal RNA is filed under the name Vulpicida juniperinus. RNAcentral describes it as "partial small subunit ribosomal RNA". It matches the Rfam family "Bacterial small subunit ribosomal RNA", at positions 369 to 1152 of the family's 1533-position model. Lineage: Eukaryota; Fungi; Ascomycota; Lecanoromycetes; Lecanorales; Parmeliaceae. The record is from RNAcentral.